UGGGGAAUUUUGGACAAUGGGCGAAAGCCUGAUCCAGCAAUGCCGCGUGUGUGAAGAAGGCCUUCGGGUUGUAAAGCACUUUUGUCCGGAAAGAAAUCCUUGGCUCUAAUACAGUCGGGGGAUGACGGUACCGGAAGAAUAAGCACCGGCUAACUACGUGCCAGCAGCCGCGGUAAUACGUAGGGUGCAAGCGUUAAUCGGAAUUACUGGGCGUAAAGCGUGCGCAGGCGGUUUGCUAAGACCGAUGUGAAAUCCCCGGGCUCAACCUGGGAACUGCAUUGGUGACUGGCAGGGCUAGAGUAUGGCAGAGGGGGGUAGAAUUCCACGUNUAGCAGUGAAAUGCGUAGAGAUGUGGAGGAAUACCGAUGGCGAAGGCAGCCCCCUGGGCAAUACUGACGCUCAUGCACGAAA
RNAcentral lists this ribosomal RNA (411 nucleotides) under uncultured bacterium. RNAcentral's name for it is "partial 16S ribosomal RNA". It matches the Rfam family "Bacterial small subunit ribosomal RNA", at positions 355 to 758 of the family's 1533-position model. The record is from RNAcentral.